RNAcentral lists this unclassified non-coding RNA (329 nucleotides) under soil metagenome. RNAcentral's name for it is "partial contains 5.8S ribosomal RNA, internal transcribed spacer 2, and large subunit ribosomal RNA". The stretch from base 1 to 120 matches the Rfam family "5.8S ribosomal RNA", at positions 35 to 154 of the family's 154-position model. The record is from RNAcentral.
GAUGAAGAACGUAGCGAAAUGCGAUAAGUAAUGUGAAUUGCAGAAUUCAGUGAAUCAUCGAAUCUUUGAACGCACAUUGCGCCCCCUGGUAUUCCGGGGGGCAUGCCUGUUCGAGCGUCAUUACAACCCUCAAGCUCUGCUUGGUAUUGGGCCCCGCCAGUUCUGGCGGGCCCUAAAGUCAGUGGCGGUGCCUUCCGGCUCCUAGCGUAGUAAUUCUUCUCGCUCUGGAGACCCGGUUGUGUGCUUGCCAACAACCCCCAAUUUUUUAAGGUUGACCUCGGAUCAGGUAGGGAUACCCGCUGAACUUAAGCAUAUCAAUAAGCGGAGGA